This is a long non-coding RNA of Lotus japonicus, 877 nucleotides long. RefSeq lists it as uncharacterized. The transcript is spliced from 2 exons. The record is from RefSeq and is a predicted model, not a curated record. NCBI's taxonomy places the organism in Eukaryota, Viridiplantae, Streptophyta, Magnoliopsida, Fabales, Fabaceae.
UUCCAAUUUACUUAUUACAACUUAAAAUGAGAAUCGUCUGAUUAAAAUCCGGCAACUCAAAAUGCUUGACUGCGUAAAUGUAAGAUUUUUGAGGCAGCAGAGAAUCCAAAUCUGUAUAAGCACAACGGGAAUAGAUGCUCUUUUAUGAUAAAAUAUAACAUUUAUUAGCUUGCACUGAUGUAUAAUAGUAAUUUUUAGGGACUAGCUAAUAUGAUUUCAAUUUUCAACAUUAAAUAGUAGAAGCUUAAACCUUUCUCUGUGUUUCUCUAGUACUUUGACAUCACAGUUGUGUAUUUUCAUGCUGCAUAAUUUGCGAGAGAAGAUAUUUUUCUUCUUUCAUUUUUUUCUAGCCUGCCCAACACUUAAUGUGUUAUUGGUAAGAACAUGAAAGUUCCAGCAAAGAAUAAAAUUUGAGCUAAAUCUUCAUUCUCAUGGCUGUUACAGGAAUGGAUGAUCCAAAUAAUCCAUUUAUCUCCAUUAAGGAUGCUCUAAAGGAUGAGAAACGGAUUAGAUAUUACAAUGGCUACUUAUCUUCCUUCUGGCUUCUAUCAAAGAUGGUUGCAAUGUGAAAGGAUAUUUUGCAUGGUCACUACUAGAUAACUGGGAGUGGUCUGCUGGAUACACUUGUAGAUUUGGUCUGUACUUUGUUGAUUACAAAGACAACCAGAAGAGAUACCCCAAACAAUCUGUGGAAUGGUUCAAGAAUUUCUUGAAACCAACAAAAUAGUUGUAAAAAUACAUGAUUGUAUUUGGAACUACAGAAUUAUAUCGAUUUCAGUUUCAAAUUUAUUAGAUUUAGAAUUUUAUGUUUGAAACUUAUUGUAACAAUAACAAUAAUAGUGGAAUUAAUUUUUAUAUAGAUCACAUUCUCUUCUCA